Molecule: non-coding RNA, 108 nt
Organism: Daucus carota subsp. sativus
Lineage: Eukaryota; Viridiplantae; Streptophyta; Magnoliopsida; Apiales; Apiaceae
Source: Rfam
AUUAUGAAGUGGGCUUAGUGUCUGAAAUAACUCAGAAAGUUUGUGAUAACAUCAGCCUCUUCCUCAGAAUAUUUAACAGGACUGGGGUCAAAUCAAAGCACAACAUUU